AAUGGAAGCAUCAAUUCUACAGCUACUUCUUCUACUAUCACUUACAUCCUGCACAAUUGUCUUUUACAAAAUCAGAGGCCGAUGGCGUCGUCGGCCUCCGUCUCCACCAUCUCUCCCUAUAAUCGGUCACCUCCAUCUCCUCAACCAAAUGCCUCAUCACACCUUCUUCAAUCUAUCUCAAAAACUCGGAAAAAUUAUCUAUCUUCAACUCGGCCAAAUUCCGACUCUAAUCAUCUCAUCUCCUCGUCUAGCUGAACUCAUCCUCAAAACGAACGAUCAUAUCUUCUGUAGCCGUCCACAAAUCAUUGCAGCUCAGUACCUCUCCUUCGGUUGCUCCGAUAUCACUUUUUCACCGUACGGUCCUUACUGGCGUCAAGCUAGAAAAAUCUGCGUAACGGAAUUACUCAGUUCCAAACGAGUUCACUCGUUUGAAUUCAUACG
Molecule: unclassified non-coding RNA, 441 nt
Filed under: Hevea brasiliensis (rubber tree)
Lineage: Eukaryota; Viridiplantae; Streptophyta; Magnoliopsida; Malpighiales; Euphorbiaceae
Source: RNAcentral